RNAcentral lists this ribosomal RNA (773 nucleotides) under Bacillus sp. S2IP6(2011). Its description in RNAcentral is "bacterial SSU rRNA". It matches the Rfam family "Bacterial small subunit ribosomal RNA", at positions 27 to 779 of the family's 1533-position model. The record is from RNAcentral. Lineage: Bacteria; Bacillati; Bacillota; Bacilli; Caryophanales; Bacillaceae.
GGACGAACGCUGGCGGCGGUCCUUAUUCAUGCAAGUCGAGCGGAGAUUUGAAAAGCUUGCUUUUCAAAUCUUAGCGGCGGACGGGUGAGUAACACGUGGGCAACCUGCCCUUUAGACGGGGAUAAUUCCGGGAACCAGGAGCUAAUACCGGAUAACACAUAUCUUCGCAUGAGGAUAUGUUAGAAGGUGGCUUUUAGCUACCAAUCAAGGAUGGGCACACGGCUCAUUAGCUAAUUGGUGAGGUAACGGCUCACCAAGGCGAAGAUGCGUAGCCAGCCUGAGAGGGUGAUCGGCCUCACAGGGAAUGAGACACGGCCCAGACUCCUACGGGAGGCAGCAGUAGGGAAUCUUCCGCAAUGGACGAAAGUCUGACGGAGCAACACCGCGUGAAUGAUGAAGGUUUUCGGAUCGUAAAGCUCUGUUGUUAGGGAAGAACAAGUACCUGUUAAAUAAGCAGGUACCUUGACGGUACCUAACCAGAAAACCACGGCUAAAUUCGUGCCAGCAAACGCGGUAAUACGUAGGUGGCAAGCGUUGUCCGGAAUUUUUGGGCGUAAAGCGCCCGCAGGCGGUUCCUUAAAUAUGAUUUGAAAGCCCACGGCUCAACCGUGGAGGGUCAUUGGAAACUGGGGAACUAGAGUGCAGAAGAGGAGAGCGGAAUUCCACGUGUAGCGGUGAAAUGCGUAGAGAUGUGGAGGAACGCCAGUGGUGAAGGCGGCUCUCUGGUCUGUAACUGACGAUGAGGCGUGUAAUCGUGGGGAGGGAACAGGAUU